UUUUUAUUGUUUGUCGUUAUUAAUAGUGUUUUAAACUAAGGAGGAAAGUGACAAAGAGCUUGAGGACUUUCAUGGCUCCCAGGCCCUGGAUGCCGGGUGGCGGCAUCGAACACACAGAACCAAGAAGUCUGAGGGCAGCCGGGUGGUGCCUGAGGCCUCAAGCACCAGGCUUAUUUCACUUACCACAGCUUCUAGAUCUAUCCCUGUUGUUGCAAAUGACACGGGUGGAUAGUUUGAAGACAUUGGCCUACCAAGAUGACAACAGGCUUAAAAAAUAAAAUUCAUAAGA
Phyllostomus hastatus (greater spear-nosed bat) is the source of this 289-nucleotide long non-coding RNA. RefSeq lists it as uncharacterized. NCBI's taxonomy places the organism in Eukaryota, Metazoa, Chordata, Mammalia, Chiroptera, Phyllostomidae. The transcript is spliced from 3 exons. The record is from RefSeq and is a predicted model, not a curated record.